GUAGUCCACGCCCUAAACGAUGCUCACUAGGUGUUGGGGAAGCGAUUCCUUGGUACCGUAGCUAACGCGUGAAGUGAGCCGCCUGGGGAGUACGGCCGCAAGGUUAAAACUCAAAGGAAUUGACGGGGACCCGCACAAGCGGUGGAUGAUGUGGAUUAAUUCGAUGCAACGCGAACAACCUUACCUACCCUUGACAUGUCUGGAAGGCUGCUGAAAGGUGGCUGUGCCCGAAAGGGAACCGGAACACAGGUGCUGCAUGGCUGUCGUCAGCUCGUGUCGUGAGAUGUUGGGUUAAGUCCCGCAACGAGCGCAACCCUUGUCCCUAGUUGCUACGCAAGGGCACUCUAGGGAGACUGCCGGUGACAAACCGGAG
RNAcentral lists this ribosomal RNA (373 nucleotides) under uncultured bacterium. RNAcentral's name for it is "bacterial SSU rRNA". It matches the Rfam family "Bacterial small subunit ribosomal RNA", at positions 790 to 1168 of the family's 1533-position model. The record is from RNAcentral.